This is a long non-coding RNA of Perca flavescens (yellow perch), 402 nucleotides long. RefSeq lists it as uncharacterized. The record is from RefSeq and is a predicted model, not a curated record. The transcript is spliced from 3 exons. NCBI's taxonomy places the organism in Eukaryota, Metazoa, Chordata, Actinopteri, Perciformes, Percidae.
CUGUCAGAUCCUGCGUCAGCGGAGUUGUAUUGUAAUGAAAAUGGAGAGUGGAGUGGCCAACCUCCAAAAUGCAUAGAGAUUAAAUGUGCAGUACCUCCGAUAGAAAAUGGUUAUGUGCCUGAUCACAAUAUCCGAGAGUACAAAGAACAUGAUGUCCUGGACUUUAGGUGUAAUGUUGGAUAUAAACCCACUGAAGACAGACCCUCAAAAUGCACAAAAGUAGGAAUAAGAGCCGAGUGGACCCCCACACCUGCGUGUGAACCAAUAAAAUGUAGACUGAAACCGGCAAUUGAAGGAACCAGGUAUGAAUCUUCCAAAAAUGUGUUUUUACCUGGUGAGACCCUGAGAGUCAUUUGUGGAGAGAAGUACGGCAUUUCUGACAAUCAGCAAUCAGCAGUAACU